CUCUGUGGUUCCUACUAUGGCCCGCGCGCCAGGGACCACAGGCUUCUUCAUUCCAUCCCCACGCUUGAGGCCCUGGUUCCGGACUAGGCCCCGACCUCCCGGCUUCUAGACUGCCGGUUCUCAUUCUCCCCGAUUUGGAGGAGAAGAGGCCCGGCCUUUGGCGGGCAAGUGGGCGACACCGGCAGGAGUCGCGGCCCGAGGUGUUAUGAACAUAAACAGUAUAGAAAUGGAUUGAAAUUCUGUAAACAAAUACUUUCUAAUCCCAAAUUUGCAGAGCAUGGAGAAACCCUGGCUAUGAAAGGAUUAACAUUGAACUGUUUGGGGAAAAAGGAAGAAGCUUAUGAAUUGGUUCGUAGAGGUUUGAGAAAUGACUUGAAGAGUCAUGUGUGUUGGCACGUUUAUGGCCUUCUUCAGAGGUCAGACAAGAAGUAUGAUGAAGCCAUUAAGUGUUACAGAAAUGCACUAAAAUGGGAUAAAGACAAUCUUCAAAUCUUAAGGGACCUUUCCUUACUACAGAUUCAAAUGCGAGAUCUUGAGGGUUACAGGGUAA
Molecule: small RNA, 550 nt
Filed under: Pan troglodytes (chimpanzee)
Lineage: Eukaryota; Metazoa; Chordata; Mammalia; Primates; Hominidae
Description: processed transcript
Source: RNAcentral